RNAcentral lists this long non-coding RNA (698 nucleotides) under Ricinus communis (castor bean). RNAcentral's name for it is "long non-coding RNA (RCOM_LNC001621)". The record is from RNAcentral. Lineage: Eukaryota; Viridiplantae; Streptophyta; Magnoliopsida; Malpighiales; Euphorbiaceae.
AAAAAUUCAAAAAUAAAAGAUAUAAAUGAAGAAUAGAAGGUUAAUCAAACGGAGAUAGCACUAAAUCGAAAAAGAAUUAAGUUGGUUGGGCCCUUAAGUGGUCAUUUUUAUAUAAUAAAAUUAAAAGAAAAAAAGAAUACUUAAAAGAUGAAGAAGUUUAUAGAAAUCUUUAAAAAUACUAGCUAGGAUUGACAAAUGAAGGUUUACAAAGGUUGGAAAUUUCCAUUUAAGGUGGUGAUUGAGGGUUCUUCAACCAAAAACUAAGUGUAGCUCGUUUGGUUCUUGGUUUAAUGGAAGUUUUAUGGUUUUUAGUGAGUUUUACUUAAGGUUUCUAUGCAAUUCAGGGUUUUGGCCUUGAGAUGAGAAAAUAAUGAUUUUGUGUAGGUUAGUUAGAUUUACGGCAACAAAGGGUUAAGAUAGGUUUUGGGGUUUAGAAAUUGACUGUUGGAAUUGUACCAUGUCAUUAGUGAGUUGUUUGUCUCAAAAUGACAUAGCACUAAGACAAAAUAAGCUUUACCUCGCUCUGAACUCGCAUUGGUUUUGCCUAAGCUCCUGCGAGCUUGAGCUUGAGCUUGGGUGAGUUCAAUCUGCCAUCUCAGGCAAGAGGAGUCAAAAAGCAUAUCGUUUACUUUACUAAGAAAGUCGGGCCCUCUAUUUGGAAAUAAAAGAAGAAGUGACCUUAGUCGACAAAAGGAUAU